This 392-nucleotide ribosomal RNA is filed under the name uncultured Acaryochloris sp. Its description in RNAcentral is "bacterial SSU rRNA". It matches the Rfam family "Bacterial small subunit ribosomal RNA", at positions 355 to 762 of the family's 1533-position model. Lineage: Bacteria; Bacillati; Cyanobacteriota; Cyanophyceae; Acaryochloridales; Acaryochloridaceae. The record is from RNAcentral.
UGGGGAAUUUUCCGCAAUGGGCGAAAGCCUGACGGAGCAAUACCGCGUGCGGGAGGAAGGCCUUUGGGUCGUAAACCGCUUUUAACAGGGAAGAAGAUCUGACGGUACCUGUUGAAUAAGCCUCGGCUAACUCCGUGCCAGCAGCCGCGGUAAGACGGAGGAGGCAAGCGUUAUCCGGAAUUAUUGGGCGUAAAGCGUCCGCAGGUGGCCUUUCAAGUCUGCUGUUAAAGCCCAGGGCUCAACUCUGGAUCAGCAGUGGAAACUGAAAGGCUAGAGUACGGUAGGGGUAGAGGGAAUUCCCAGUGUAGCGGUGAAAUGCGUAGAUAUUGGGAAGAACACCAGUGGCGAAGGCGCUCUGCUGGGCCGUAACUGACACUCAUGGACGAAAGCUA